GGUUGUGGCUCCGUGGUAGAGUGCUUGCCUAGCAUACGUGAGGCCCUGGGUUCAAUCCUCAGAACUA
This 67-nucleotide transfer RNA is filed under the name Marmota monax (woodchuck). Its description in RNAcentral is "tRNA.Ala". The record is from RNAcentral. Lineage: Eukaryota; Metazoa; Chordata; Mammalia; Rodentia; Sciuridae.